This 271-nucleotide ribosomal RNA is filed under the name uncultured bacterium. RNAcentral describes it as "partial 16S ribosomal RNA". It matches the Rfam family "Bacterial small subunit ribosomal RNA", at positions 524 to 789 of the family's 1533-position model. The record is from RNAcentral.
UACAGAGGUCUCAAGCGUUGUUCGGAUUCAUUGGGCGUAAAGGGUGCGUAGGUGGCGCCGUAAGUCGGGUGUGAAAUUUCGGAGCUUAACUCCGAAACUGCAUUCGAUACUGCGGUGCUUGAGGACUGGAGAGGAGACUGGAAUUCAUGGUGUAGCAGUGAAAAUGCGUAGAGAUCAUGAGGAAGACCAGUGGCGAAGGCGGGUCUCUGGACAGUUCCUGACACUGAGGCACGAAGGCCCAGGGGGAGCAAAACGGGGAUUAGAAAACCCC